GCAACGGUGUUUUUAGACACCACCCUCUCUUUCAAAAAAUUUAUC
Molecule: non-coding RNA, 45 nt
Organism: Picea glauca (white spruce)
Lineage: Eukaryota; Viridiplantae; Streptophyta; Pinopsida; Pinales; Pinaceae
Source: Rfam